This 497-nucleotide ribosomal RNA is filed under the name uncultured bacterium. Its description in RNAcentral is "partial 16S ribosomal RNA". It matches the Rfam family "Bacterial small subunit ribosomal RNA", at positions 28 to 507 of the family's 1533-position model. The record is from RNAcentral.
GAUGAACGCUGGCGGCGUGCCUAAUACAUGCAAGUCGAGCGAACGGACGAGAAGCUUGCUUCUCUGAUGUUAGCGGCGGACGGGUGAGUAACACGUGGAUAACCUACCUAUAAGACUGGGAUAACUUCGGGGAACCGUAGCUAAUACCGGAUAAUAUUUUGAACCGCAUGGUUCAAAAGUGAAAGACGGUCUUGCUGUCACUCAUUGAUGGAUCCGCGCUGCAUUAGCUAGUUGGUAAGGUAACGGCUUACCAAGGCAACGAUGCAUAGCCGACCUGAGAGGGUGAUCGGCCACACUGGAUCUGAGACACGGUCCAGACUCCUACGGGAGGCAGCAGUAGGGAAUCUUCCGCAAUGGGCGAGAGCCUGACGGAGCAACGCCGCGUGAGUGAUGAAGGUCUUCGGAUCGUAAAACUCUGUUAUUAGGGAAGAACAUAUGUGUAAGUAACUGUGCACAUCUUGACGGUACCUAAUCAGAAAGCCACGGCUAACUACGUG